This 22-nucleotide microRNA is filed under the name Spodoptera frugiperda (fall armyworm). RNAcentral describes it as "sfr-miR-10506-3p". Lineage: Eukaryota; Metazoa; Arthropoda; Insecta; Lepidoptera; Noctuidae. The record is from miRBase by way of RNAcentral.
UUGGACGAUGUAGUUGUGAAAC